This 332-nucleotide unclassified non-coding RNA is filed under the name soil metagenome. RNAcentral describes it as "partial contains 5.8S ribosomal RNA, internal transcribed spacer 2, and large subunit ribosomal RNA". The stretch from base 1 to 120 matches the Rfam family "5.8S ribosomal RNA", at positions 35 to 154 of the family's 154-position model. The record is from RNAcentral.
GAUGAAGAACGUAGCAAAAUGCGAUAAGUAAUGUGAAUUGCAGAAUUCAGUGAAUCAUCGAAUCUUUGAACGCACAUUGCGCCCGCCAGUAUUCUGGCGGGCAUGCCUGUUCGAGCGUCAUUUCAACCCUCAAGCACAGCUUGGUGUUGGGACUCGCGUUAAUUCGCGUUCCUCAAAUCGAUUGGCGGUCACGUCGAGCUUCCAUAGCGUAGUAGUAAAACCCUCGUUACUGGUAAUCGUCGCGGCCACGCCGUUAAACCCCAACUUCUGAAUGUUGACCUCGGAUCAGGUAGGAAUACCCGCUGAACUUAAGCAUAUCAAUAAGCGGAGGA